GACGAACUCUGGCGGCGUGCCUAACACAUGCAAGUCGAACGGAGUUGAAAGGAGCUUGCUUUUUUCAACUCAGUGGCGGACGGGUGAGUAACGCGUGAGUAACCUGCCUUUCAGAGGGGGAUAACGUUCUGAAAAGAACGCUAAUACCGCAUAAGAUUGUAGCUUCGCAUGGAGCAGCAAUCAAAGGAGCAAUCCGCUGAAAGAUGGACUCGCGUCCGAUUAGAUAGUUGGCGGGGUAACGGCCCACCAAGUCGACGAUCGGUAGCCGGACUGAGAGGUUGAUCGGCCACAUUGGGACUGAGACACGGCCCAGACUCCUACGGGAGGCAGCAGUGAGGGAUAUUGGGCAAUGGGGGAAACCCUGACCCAGCAACGCCGCGUGAGGGAUGACGGUUUUCGGAUUGUAAACCUCUGUCCUCUGUGAAGAUAGUGACGGUAGCAGAGGAGGAAGCUCCGGCUAACUACGUGCCAGCAGCCGCGGUAAUACGUAGGGAGCAAGCGUUGUCCGGAUUUACUGGGUAUAAAGGGUGCGUAGGCGGAUUGGCAAGUCAGAAGUGAAAUCCAUGGGCUUAACCCAUGAACUGCUUUUGAAACUGUUAGUCUUGAGUGAAGUAGAGGUAGGCGGAAUUCCCGGUGUAGCGGUGAAAUGCGUAGAGAUCGGGAGGAACACCAGUGGCGAAGGCGGCCUACUGGGCUUUAACUGACGCUGAGGCACGAAAGUGUGGGUAGCAAACAGGAUUAGAUACCCUGGUAGUCCACACUGUAAAC
This 768-nucleotide ribosomal RNA is filed under the name uncultured bacterium. RNAcentral's name for it is "bacterial SSU rRNA". It matches the Rfam family "Bacterial small subunit ribosomal RNA", at positions 28 to 807 of the family's 1533-position model. The record is from RNAcentral.